UACGGAGGGAGCUAGCGUUGUUCGGAAUUACUGGGCGUAAAGAGCGCGUAGGCGGUUUAUCAAGUUGGGAGUGAAAUCCCAGGGCUUAACCCUGGAACUGCUUUCAAAACUGGUAAACUAGAGUUUGGUAGAGGAUGGUGGAAUUCCUAGUGUAGAGGUGAAAUUCGUAGAUAUUAGGAGGAACACCGGUGGCGAAGGCGGCCAUCUGGGCCAAUACUGACGCUGAGGCGCGAAAGCGUGGGGAGCAAACAGG
Molecule: ribosomal RNA, 253 nt
Filed under: uncultured bacterium
Lineage: Bacteria
Description: partial 16S ribosomal RNA
Rfam family: Bacterial small subunit ribosomal RNA
Source: RNAcentral